RNAcentral lists this ribosomal RNA (292 nucleotides) under uncultured bacterium. RNAcentral describes it as "partial 16S ribosomal RNA". It matches the Rfam family "Bacterial small subunit ribosomal RNA", at positions 505 to 796 of the family's 1533-position model. The record is from RNAcentral.
GUGUCAGCAGCCGCGGUAAUACGGAGGGGGCUAGCGUUGUUCGGAAUCACUGGGCGUAAAGCGCACGUAGGCCGGCUGUUAAGUCGGGGGUGAAAGCCUGGAGCUCAACUCCAGAACUGCCUCCGAUACUGGCAGCCUUGAGUCCGAGAGAGGUGAGUGGAAUUCCCAGUGUAGAGGUGAAAUUCGUAGAUAUUGGGAAGAACACCAGUGGCGAAGGCGGCUCACUGGCUCGGUACUGACGCUGAGGUGCGAAAGCGUGGGGAGCAAACAGGAUUAGAUACCCUCGUAGUCC